CAGGAGAAAAGGGAUUCGA
Molecule: transfer RNA, 19 nt
Filed under: Entosthodon serratus
Lineage: Eukaryota; Viridiplantae; Streptophyta; Bryopsida; Funariales; Funariaceae
Description: partial tRNA-Trp
Source: RNAcentral